RNAcentral lists this ribosomal RNA (251 nucleotides) under uncultured bacterium. RNAcentral describes it as "partial 16S ribosomal RNA". It matches the Rfam family "Bacterial small subunit ribosomal RNA", at positions 524 to 776 of the family's 1533-position model. The record is from RNAcentral.
UACGUAGGGGGCAAGCGUUGUCCGGAAUUAUUGGGCGUAAAGCGCGCGCAGGCGGUUCAUUAAGUCUGGUGUUUAAGCCCAGGGCUCAACCCUGGUUCGCACUGGAAACUGAUGGACUUGAGUGUAGGAGAGGAAAGUGGAAUUCCACGUGUAGCGGUGAAAUGCGUAGAGAUGUGGAGGAACCCCAGUGGCGAAGGCGACUUUCUGGCCUAUAACUGACGCUGAGGCGCGAAAGCGUGGGAGCAAACAGG